Molecule: long non-coding RNA, 241 nt
Organism: Cyprinus carpio (common carp)
Lineage: Eukaryota; Metazoa; Chordata; Actinopteri; Cypriniformes; Cyprinidae
Exons: 4
Source: RefSeq, a predicted model, not a curated record
AGGGUCCUCCUGGGAUGAAGGUAAAAUAUAGUUUGCCAAGAAACUUUGAAGAAAUGAAAAGUUUCUCAGGCGAUAUGUAAUUUUUCUCCUUUGGUUGGCAGGGAGAGAAAGUAGACAUGGGUUUGAAAGGAGAAAAGGGUGAUGCUGGUCCACAGGGGAGAGCUGUUGAAAUGAAGGACAUUGAAGGCUUGUUUGAUUCAUAUGGUGUUAAAGCUGCUUCAGGAUGGAAUGCAGGAGCUUC